Unclassified non-coding RNA from Callithrix jacchus (white-tufted-ear marmoset), 265 nucleotides. It matches the Rfam family "Metazoan signal recognition particle RNA". Rfam says of the family: The signal recognition particle (SRP) is a universally conserved ribonucleoprotein. It is involved in the co-translational targeting of proteins to membranes. The eukaryotic SRP consists of a 300-nucleotide 7S RNA and six proteins: SRPs 72, 68, 54, 19, 14, and 9. Lineage: Eukaryota; Metazoa; Chordata; Mammalia; Primates; Cebidae. The record is from Ensembl.
GCCAGGCGUGGUGGCCUGUGCCUGUAGUCUCAGCUAUUUGGGAGGCUGAGGCUGGAGGAUCACUUGAUCAGGUGUCUGCACUAAGUUCAGCAUCAAUAUGGUGACCUCCUGGGAGCGGGGGACCACCAGGUUGCCUAAGGAGGGGUGAACUGGCCCAGGUCAGAAACAGAGCACGUCAAAACUCCCAUGCUGAUCAGUAGUGGGAUCACGACUGUGAAUAGCCACUGCACUCCAGCCUGGGCAACAUAGCGAGACUCGGUCUCUU